RNAcentral lists this long non-coding RNA (207 nucleotides) under Lathyrus oleraceus (garden pea). Its description in RNAcentral is "Pisum sativum (pea) long non-coding RNA (PSAT_LNC006944)". The record is from RNAcentral. Lineage: Eukaryota; Viridiplantae; Streptophyta; Magnoliopsida; Fabales; Fabaceae.
AAAAAAAAAAAAAAAAAAAAAAAAAAAAAAAACAAAAAAAACAAAAAAAUUAAAAAAAAAAAAAAACAAAAAACAAAAAACAAAAAAACAAAAAAAAAAAAAAAAAAAAAAAAAAAAAAAAAAAAAAAAAAAAAAAAAAAAAAAAAAAAAAAAAAAAAAAAAAAACAAAAAAAAAAAAAAAAAAAAAAAAAAAAAAAUAAAGAAAAA